GCCCGGGUCCCCUCGGGCAGCCCCCGUUCCCCGGCUCCUGCCCGAGCUGGCCGGCUACAGCCCCCGCACAGUUUUUCUCCCUGGAAAGCUGAUGAGAGGGCCGGGCUGCUGGGGAAGAGCCCCCCGGUCCCGGGGAGCUGGGCUGCUGGGGCAGAGGGCAGCCAGGAACCGCGGGGAAGGGGACACCGGACUCUUCAGCUCUAAAAUUCACAGUAAUCCCAAGACAGAUGAUUCUUACAGUGCAUGGAAAGCAUCCCUCCACCCCUCCCUACAAAUGGAGCAUGUAGUCUGUGAGUGCAUGAGGAGAGCUUCAGGGACUGGCGAGCUCAGUACUCACAUCCUUGGGAGACGGAGUUCAGCAACGUAUGGUUUUGGCUGGAGAACAAAAGAAACAAAGACUCUUCCUUGGGAGAAGCUCUCAGCACACCACUGCAUCUGUUCAAAACUUCAAGGCAGGACAGAAGAGAUCAAACUACCUUAUUCACCUGGAAGAAUGAUCUGA
This 502-nucleotide long non-coding RNA is filed under the name Serinus canaria (Common canary). RNAcentral's name for it is "lncRNA (ENSSCAG00000009888.1)". The record is from RNAcentral. Lineage: Eukaryota; Metazoa; Chordata; Aves; Passeriformes; Fringillidae.